UACGUAGGGAGCAAGCGUUGUCCGGAUUUACUGGGUGUAAAGGGUGCGUAGGCGGGAACACAAGUCAGGCGUGAAAUACCGGGGCUCAACUCCGGGGCUGCGCUUGAAACUGUGUUUCUUGAGUGAAGUAGAGGCAGGCGGAAUUCCUAGUGUAGCGGUGGAAUGCGUAGAUAUUAGGAGGAACACCAGUGGCGAAGGCGGCCUGCUGGGCUUUAACUGACGCUGAUGCACGAAAGCAUGGGGAGCAAACAGG
Molecule: ribosomal RNA, 253 nt
Filed under: uncultured bacterium
Lineage: Bacteria
Description: partial 16S ribosomal RNA
Rfam family: Bacterial small subunit ribosomal RNA
Source: RNAcentral